This is a non-coding RNA of Odocoileus virginianus texanus, 4107 nucleotides long. NCBI's taxonomy places the organism in Eukaryota, Metazoa, Chordata, Mammalia, Artiodactyla, Cervidae. The record is from RefSeq and is a predicted model, not a curated record.
ACCGAUCAGGUAAGGCGUGGGAUUUCUCACCAGGGAUGUCUCCCCACUGGCCUUCCUCAGGUAACCGUUUCUCCCGGUUGGUCAUCUUCCCGAAUUCUAGAAGGGAACAGGUAAUCAAGGGAGAAAGGAAAACAGGCACAAGGCUCUUGAUAAGCAUUAUUCUGUAAUUUGUGCUUUGGUCUUUUUACUGUCUCUUCUGGAACCCACUGUUUCUUAGAUUACCGAUGUACUGAGCCUCACGAAUCUCCAUUUAUCACUCAGGAAAGAAGGGGGCAGGUGGAACGUGCCAUUGUGUUCUAUGACCCCCGCUCUGAGAUGCCCCAGGAGGCUCCCACAUGAAGGAGGGCCCGGGGACCCCUGACCAGAGGAGGCUGUCGGAGCAUCUCCCCAACUCCAGCGCCAGAUCCUAUCCCUCCCGGCCGUCGCCAGGUAGUCCUGUGCUGGGGGCACACUCUUCAACAAGUCUCGAGCUGCUUCCCACUUCAUUAAGGACGGGUGAGAUCCUGGCCAGGCCUCCUCCCAGGGGUCGAGGUCUCCCAGUCUAUAUGAGCUGUGAUGGUGGAUUCCGCACCUCCUCCUGAGAUGCGCGACCACCCCUGCUGGUCCCGCAGUUACCAGAACUGACAGCAGUAGUGUGUGCCCUUUAAGGAGGGUUCGAGACUCCUGCCCAAGCCACCUGUCACACCAGGACGAUGGGUGUGGAGCAGAUUUUAAUCACCAGCCAAGGGAGGCAUUAGUGAUCUGUGCUGUGGCAGAGAUCUUACUGCAGAGACGAGAACGCCUCGUGAUUUAUCGUUAACGUUGGCAUUAGAAUAAGCUCAGUGAACUUCUUUCUUCUUUUCCUUUUUUCUGUCUCUUUAUGGCACUUCCUUCCCCUUCUCUUGAAGGUUCACUGUGGUUUUGGUUGGCCUGUUUCCAUAGUGACCAGGAGAGCUGAGAGCCAGCUGGGAGUUGAAAACUUGGUAGCCAAAUGACCGCCGCUUCUCACGAGAUGGGUGACCUGUCUGCAUGUUUAGCCUGUGGAAGUCGCUAAAGGCUUACAAACCCUUGAGAGGUUCUGCAAGGCAUACAAAUAAACCAAAAAACUGUCCACCUUCUUGGAGCUCCUUGAUACAACAUUUCAGUGUAUUAAAGGCUCUGAGAAGUCCUGUGUCACCUGUUAACCCUCCGUCAACCCUGCACCUCCAAACUGCAUUGAAGCGGAAAUUCUUUCAUCUCAAACUUAAUCCAGCCUUCCACAGAAUCCGUGUUAUAGCACUACUGCCAACUUCGGGAGAGCUUACCCUCCUCCUGUUCCAAGGCAAGUGUCAUUAUUCCCUGAAAGGCACAGAACCUGUGGUCUAGUCCCAGCUCAGCCCAGGUCAUGAGCAAAGAGGUGUUCAUUCAACCAGAAUCCAGGGGCAGAUUGGGCUGAGCACAUGGAAAGACCAAGCUUGCUUUGAGGAGCAGGAAGGCUUUGACCUCGGGAGGAGGACAGCUGUGGAUUUCCAGCCUAAGCUAGCUGUUGUGCUUUUGACAAUAAGGGUGUGCUGCUGACCUCUAUUCCCAUUUUCUCGUGCCUUGAUGUCUCUCUCGCCACUGUGAAGGAUGUUUGCGAUCUAUGCACCUUAGAAUCUGGUAUAAUUGAGGUGUGAGUGGGCUUUUAAAGGUAGGGUCAAUGAGAAAAAUUUCUUCUUGUAGACCCACUUCAAAUAGUUGGUGGUGGCUUCACUGUGCUAAGAAAGGUUUUUCCAAGCUCUUUGGGGUCCGUGGAGAGGAGCUUUGUGACCCGGGGGCAGUGCCUGCCUGGGUGUGGCAGUGGUGGGAGAGCACAGCAGCGGGACUGUGGCAGAUUUCUGCUGUCUGCGCUUUUAAGGUGGUGUGCUGUGCAAUGCAACUAAGGCUGGAGGAAAAGUCUGUAACCCAGGUGGGCAGAGCUUUGGGGCACACUUAACAGGCAGCCCUUCAAACUGCAGAACCACAGUAAUAUGAUUUCCAGCCGCAGUGACAAAGGCUUGGGGUCUCCUGGCCGCCACGUUGAGACAGAAAUGGUAAUUUUCCCCAUCGUGUUGUCAAGCUCAGCGCUCCCAGCUAUUUGCCUUGAACUUUGACAACACCUUGAUAUCUUAUUUUGAUCUUUCAGAAUGAUGGGGUUUAUUCAAGUUCUGUUUUUUUUUUUAUUUUAAAGAACUAGAGUUUUAACUUCAUAUGAGUGGUACGUUUUGAGUUUGAUCCUCACCUGAGUUGGAACCCUGUUUGCUUAAGAUGUUAAUGUAAUGACAGAAAGCUGAAGAAUCCUUGUUACUUAACAGUGGUCUGUCUGCUGUUUAAAGUAUACAGAGGUUAUCUUAGCACGUUGCUUGUGUGUAUGGCUCAAUCUGUAUUUCUAACAUCCUGCUGCUUUUAGAAAUCUAGACUGUCAGGUGGUAGGUCUAGGUCCUUCUAGGUCUUAAUCUGAGCAGAAAACUUCAUGUGUGUAUUUUUAUUCUGAAUGCCCUUCCCUUUGCCCCUUAAUCGCAAGUUGGCCACAUGGCGACUUAGUGGGAACUGCAGAAGUCAGCCCUAAAGGGUGUUCAGUGCUGAUGGCAGCCCAGAUGCCCAAGGGAAGUGGCGUCCCUCGCAGGCCUGGGUCCCCCUCUUGAGUUCAGGUGAGUUAAGGGCCUGGCCCCUAAGCCAGUAGGGACCUUUGGGCGACAGGCGGCCAUGUAGGAAGUGAAAGGACUCCACUCCCACCCCUUGUAGACCUAGGAGCCCCCUCCUCCUCUUACCCUCUCCUCCAUAGCAUGCAGCUUGGCCAGCAUCUCACUGAGCUUGUGGCUCUCAGGUCCUCUGGUUAGAAUCUGAGACCCCUGUUCCUAAACCUGGAGGGGCAGUUCCAGCCAUGUGGUGUGGACAUCCUUGCUGUCUCCAUGGAUUCUGAGCAUCUUCAGAGGGGAAGAGGCCAUGUCCCUGACCUCCAGGACAAACCUCUGAAAUGUAGGGCUGCUCUCCAGGGGUUUGGAGAGUCCGCCCCCCGGGGCCCCCAAACCCGGCAAGUUUUAAAAGUUUUGAAAUGUUUUGAUACUUUUUUAUACCAUUUGCUGAUAACCAUUUUGUAGUUGCCUGCCGGGGUUUUCAUUUUCCAUCUCCCCACCACCACCCCUCCUGAGGUCAGCACCAGGGUCUUGUCAUAACCGCCUCCCAUGGACAUGACUCUCUGCCAUGGCUGUAAUCUGAUCCAUGUUUUUGAGUUGUAUGAGGUCACACAUAGCCCAGGAAUGUGACUGUCUUGGGCCCCAGCUGAGCAAAAGGGCAGUGUGUGUGAUGAGGAUGCGCUAACACGCUGAGACGUUGAACAUUUCUUCCAAAGCUCCUACCUCAGCAGAGUGUGCAGAGUCGAAAAGAUCCCUGAGGGCCGAUCCAUCUGUCACCUUUCCAACAUGGGUCAUUUUUCAACCCAGGGCCUGGCUGGGUCUUGAGUCACUCUUGUCCAUCCACCCUUUCUUUUAUGAAGACACAUUAACAUGAAAUCCAACAAAAGCUGUAACCUAAACCAUCCUGCACUUUACAGAGUUUUGGAGAUCGCUUUUUUUCUUCAUUUUUACACGGGUAGAAUUUGUGGCUUUGCAGGGUGUUCAGUUCAGUGGUCUCAAGAAAUUGUAGUUUGGUUGCCUUAGAAGAAUUAAUGAAUGUACAAAUUUGGGGGAGUGGGGCCGGAGGAGAAAAACCUUCCUGUGUCAGUUUUCUUUGAGAAAAGGAACUCUACUUUUCCAAGUUACUCGAGCCGUCUUUACAGGUUUGCUUGUGAUGGAAGGAAAAAGUCCUUUGGAUCAACUGAAAUCCAUCAUUACUACCAGCUCCCUUGCAGAAUUAGAUCUUUGAUGAUUAAGUAUUGAUAAUUCAUUGAGUAUGUUCUGGCUGUUAAUGUUACUGAUGCCUGUUAUAAUGUGUGUGCUAUUUUUUUGAUUUGUUGCUUUUGUAUUGUAACUGUAUGACACCCAAAGCUUUUUUGUUUCUUAUCUCUUCUUAGUUAAUUUCCUGCAUGUUGAAUUUUUUUCCCCUUCUGUUUAUAACUCCAUGAAGUAUUCAAUUCUCGAAACACAUUAAAAAUGACUUGCCUGCUAGGGUAUGGCUUAUUUUAUAAUUAAA